RNAcentral lists this long non-coding RNA (1437 nucleotides) under Paramuricea clavata. Lineage: Eukaryota; Metazoa; Cnidaria; Anthozoa; Malacalcyonacea; Plexauridae. The record is from RNAcentral.
UCCCAAACAUCGCCAACAUGUGUAAACAAUAGUGCUAUUUUGACUGUAAAAGCACAGGAUUAAAACCGUUAUGGACUGGCUAUAAAAUUCAUUUCAUUUACAUUACUGAAACUCAACGAUCAAGAAAGAUAAUGUCGAAGUGUAGCUAGCUAUCUGUUAUCACACAAACGCCAAGACUCCUCCGUGCGUUUCCGUGCGUGCGGUACAACUUGAAUAUCUACGACGAUAUAUGCACCAGACACUGGUAUUUGUACUUUAUAUAAAUUAUUUCAUAUUUUGUGUAUACAGUAAUUUGCAACAUGUAUAAUAUUAGACCUUUCAUUGACAUUGGCAUUGUCCAUUGAGGGCUUUAUUGAAGAAUAAUCCAGCUUCCUUAGACUUGUAUAAUGGAUUAAUGCCGCUGUGAGUUAUCAAUAUUUAAAUCAACUUUAAUCUUUUUCGUAUUCCGUAACCGACAUUUUAGAAGUUUAGUCUGUUUUACUAAACAAUACUGGAGGCAAACAACCUAUCUAUCAAUGGAAACUUUAAAAGGUUUGUUACAGUAAAACUCAUUAAUAUAAGAGAGACUUCGUGUGCAUAUACAGUUUAUGAAUUAUGCAUAUCCUGAUAAAACGUAGGACACUUUAUACCAGAUGUAAUAAAAAAUACUUUGCUAAACCUUUUCUGCUGUCAUUCCUUUGCAUUUAAGGGGAGGGUAAAUGGCGAUAGAAUUUAUAGGAGAUGCUGUGCAAUAUUUUGGCUUCAACAAACAGGUACUCGUGCAGAUCGACAAAAAAGGAAAUUCAUGCAGUUGUGAAUUGUCACGUAUGUCAGCUGUGCACUGUCGAUUUCAAACAAUUUUGUACGUUAUAUUUUGUCUUCCUGGUGUUUAAUAUAAACGAUGAUAACCUUUAAAAAAAAUCUAGAGCAAUAUGUCUAUAAACAGUUUUAGAAUCAAUAGAAUGGACAUUCAAUGUGUAUUUGGCUUGUGUCCAAAUGUGUCACGUUUAAGACCGGCAAGGCGCUAAUCCUACGACCUAUAAACAGUCGCUUUUGAGACAUCUGUUUAACAAAAUUUACACCGUGUCCAUAUCAGAACAAUUCAUUGGCAUAUUAUAAGCAUAUUAUAAAUAUCAGAGCCAGAACAGAAACGUACGCGUGAAAUGAAACUACGCCCGAAUCGGGGAACCCCGAGAAAAUAAAAAUAUUUCAAAGCGUACAGUCAUACGUUCUCGUUGCUUGAUUUCCUGAAUUUUCUGUUGCUAUAAGAAUCUGCAUUUUAGCAUGUUUGUAUAAUUUAAAAGCAAACAGAAACCAAAAAGUGCGGAAGUGGAAACAUGUAAUAUGAGACUUUUCCAUCCCCCCUUGGGCUAUCAAUUUUCUAUGGGUCACGUGACCAGCUCCGACCAGGGUCUUUGCUUCCCAAGAGCAAAGAGCCUGGGAACGAGGUUGGUUUGU